This 87-nucleotide non-coding RNA is filed under the name Clostridiales bacterium oral taxon 876 str. F0540. Its description in RNAcentral is "c-di-GMP-I riboswitch aptamer". It matches the Rfam family "c-di-GMP-I riboswitch aptamer". Rfam says of the family: GEMM was predicted in a large-scale screen for bacterial structured RNA regulatory elements. Genes associated with GEMM are involved in a diverse array of functions, including chemotaxis regulation, signal transduction, secretion and chitin. Lineage: Bacteria; Bacillati; Bacillota; Clostridia; Eubacteriales. The record is from Rfam by way of RNAcentral. RNAcentral also lists the same sequence under 1 other name.
UGCCGAUAAUAGCAAACUCGUCGAAAGGCGGGGACGCAAAGCCUUGGGUCUAAUGGAUGCAAGUCCUAUGAUUGCCAGGUUGCCGAA